UACGUAGGGUGCAAGCGUUAAUCGGAAUUACUGGGCGUAAAGCGUGCGCAGGCGGUUUUGUAAGUCUGUCGUGAAAUCCCCGGGCUCAACCUGGGAAUUGCGAUGGAGACUGCAAGGCUAGAAUCUGGCAGAGGGGGGGUAGAAUUCCACGUGUAGCAGUGAAAUGCGUAGAGAUGUGGAGGAACACCGAUGGCGAAGGCAGCCCCCCUGGGUCAAGAUUGACGCUCAUGCACGAAAGCGUGGGGAGCAAACAGG
RNAcentral lists this ribosomal RNA (255 nucleotides) under uncultured bacterium. RNAcentral's name for it is "partial 16S ribosomal RNA". It matches the Rfam family "Bacterial small subunit ribosomal RNA", at positions 524 to 776 of the family's 1533-position model. The record is from RNAcentral.